GGACAAUCCCCUCUCUGCUCCUGCUGGCUACACUAUUUCCGAUACAAGGGCCAAGCCCGUAGCGUUGCCUCAGGUUGUUGUGGCCAAAGUGCAGGACCCAGCACUUGGUCUUGUUGAAUUUUAUCCCACUGGCUACAGCCCAGCAAUCCAGCCUGUCCAGAGCCCUCUGCAGAGCCUUCCUACCCUCAGGCAGAUCAACACUUCCUCCCUACUUGGUAUCAUCUGCAAACUUACUGAGGGUGCGGUGUACUCAAUCCCCUCAUCCAGGUCAUCCAUAAAGACAUUAAACAGGACAGACUCCAGUACCAGCCCAGUCUUCUACUGCUUUGAUUUUCAUCUAGCAAGUUUUGGUCUGGCAAAGCAGCCAUUGCUAGCCACAGGAAACAAUUAAAUAUUUAUGCAUAUAGUGUGGGAGACUGAUAGCGAAUAGCAGAUGUUAAUUCACUCCUGUGAGGAAAAGCUGGCCCUGAGAACAGAUCAAUUACAAUGGAUGAAGGUAAUUUUUAAGACUUAAUAUUUAUUUAGGAAAAAAAAAUGUUCAUUUAUGUUGUAUUAUGGCACACAGUUCAUGAGAGUGGAAGGGUGGAGCCAGCCAGACUUUAUAUUUAGGAAAAUGAGAUAAAUUUGAAGAAGAUAUUUUAUUUUUAAACUUCUUAGCUGUAAACAGUGGUCAGAGAAGGAAAUAUACUAAGCAAGAUACCCACAAUUUCAUACAUUAUUCUGUUGAUAUAAAUCCACAAGUAGAUGAGUGUAUUUUUAAGUAUAUCUAGUCAUUUUUCAAAGUCUGUCCUCAGAAUACGUACGUUCUAAUGCUAGUGACUAGUUGGAGAGUUUUACACUUAUCCUCAUAAAUGUUUAACAAUUGUAAUUGAAGUUCUCCUACUUAAAGCUUCUCUGGACUCUAGAAAUAUUUUGUGAAGUUUUAGAAAAACAGGAUUGAGUUUCUACAGCUUAACAAGACAUUGAGUAUUAUUUCAUCCACAGCAAAUGACAAUGUAUGCUCAUGCUUUUGUACUGUCAUUUAGGCAGGUAAUUAUAAAACACACAAUGUUAGAAAAUGAACAAAAAGGAUUGUAGAAGGGAUUGAUAAAGGGCUAAGGACAGUGGCUUCUGUUAAAGACUGAAAAGUGAAUUCAGUAACUUAACAGUGCAAAACACUAAGUUCUUGUUCAGAAGAAUUUGUUCAGAAAUUUUCAAAAGUCUUCAGUUGAUUUGUAAUGUAAGCAGCAGAGAUUAAUCUAAGAAGAAAGAGUUUCAGUUGUACAGUAUGCAAAAAAAAUGCUAACUAAAAGGAUAUUUAAUAAAAGAUGGAUUAGUGAUUAAAAAAUGUGUUAA
RNAcentral lists this long non-coding RNA (1335 nucleotides) under Numida meleagris (helmeted guineafowl). Its description in RNAcentral is "lncRNA (ENSNMEG00000016191.1)". Lineage: Eukaryota; Metazoa; Chordata; Aves; Galliformes; Numididae. The record is from RNAcentral.